Molecule: long non-coding RNA, 1274 nt
Organism: Pangasianodon hypophthalmus (striped catfish)
Lineage: Eukaryota; Metazoa; Chordata; Actinopteri; Siluriformes; Pangasiidae
Exons: 5
Source: RefSeq, a predicted model, not a curated record
AUAGGCCACAGGGGUCAACAAAGCGAGGCCUGAGUGCGAUAUUUUGUUUAACCAGGGCUGAUGAUGCUCUCGGGAAAGUUGGAUAGAUGUCGUGAAUGUGGCUGGUGUCGUGGUGACGUGAGAAACACGUGAUGCAGACGGCGUGAUCAGCAACGUUUCAGCUGCGGGAGAGGAAGAAGUGUUAUUGAGCAACAAGACCGAGACUAAAAAUCAGCAGAAAUGUCAUGAGAUCAGAUCUCCUCACCAGCACUCAUCAUUUGGCUGCUCGUGAUGGCAGAUGUCCUGUAGGAAGCGCAGUUGGAAGGAACCUUUCCUGAUCUUUCCCUCCUCACUCUCCCUCAGUGAGAAGUUUAGACGCCGGAGUGUUGCUUAAAGCGGCGCUGAUUCACGAACUGAGGAAAUCCGAUCUGAUCCGAUCUGAUACGUGGAUAACGCGACUCUCUUUUCAUUUCUUAUCACUGAGAUGACUGACAGGACGAUUAGAGACGCCAGCAGGAAACACACAACCCCCCAGGAGGAGGAGGAGGAGGAGGAGGAGGUCCAUCAUCGAGAGGCCUGGACUAAAAAAACUCAGCAUUUUGUAGAGAUAAGAAGAGGGUCCACAGAGACGGUGUGUUCACAGGGUGCAGAAAUUUAUAGAAAACCCCUGCAGAGAAGGUUUACUCAGGAAUAAUGCAACAUGCAGCGUGACGUGGGACUGAAACAAAAUGGCCGCCGUUCAGUUUUACUGAAAUUACAGCUGAAAGAUGUAACCCUCAAGUCCGCCUUCACGAACCUGAGGUCGACCCCUUCUGGCCGCUGCUCUUCUGGCCGUUACCAUGGUAACGUCCUACACCAUACACGCAAAAAACCACCCACUCACAACUUAUUGUUCCUUUCUGAACAAUGCAUAUUCAUAACCGUGACAGGACAGAAAAACCCUUUUUUUCAGCUCUUUUAUCGAAAAAUGCGAAUCCAUGUGACACUGUUACGGGAACCGGCUGUGACCUCUCAUCUGUCUCACACACACACACACACACACACACACACUGAAUUAGAUAGGAUUGAAUGUGAUUUAUGAGUGUACAUGAUGUUGUGACUUGUGGUGUAGAAAAGAAGUCAAACACAAGCUGUGACCGUAAAUAUUUUAUUAAAAAACACACACACACACACUAAUUUGCAUUUUUUGCCAAAAUAUUAAUAAAUUCAUCAAAGGAAGUGCGAGUAAAUGAGGGGUAUAGAGCUCGAGGCCGGAUCGGCCUCCCACACAUGAAGAGGACUCGCCUACGAGCAGU